AUGGUUUUCUUGUGCACAAUUAAACGUCCAAAAAUUCAUGUCGUAUUUGAAAUGGCAUCAUGUUAUUCAUGUGUUUUAGAAUUCCUGCAAAUCAUCAAAGAGGUAGUAAACUGUUAUCGUCCAGCUAUCGAGCCAUUUGUGUGCACUGAGGAAGCUAUUUGUACCUCUGGCCACAAUAAUUACUCCAUCCAUUUUAUCCGUUCCACUUCAAAAUAUAGGACAUUUUGUUUUGUUAACACAGGUGUUUUGCCAGAAUUAACAAAAUAUUUGAAGUGGGGGGAUUAUGUUUUAACACCCCAGAAUCAACGAAGAAACGACACAAGUAGAGGUGCAGUUUUUGAAACAGAAUCUCAAUAA
Molecule: ribosomal RNA, 357 nt
Filed under: Triticum aestivum (bread wheat)
Lineage: Eukaryota; Viridiplantae; Streptophyta; Magnoliopsida; Poales; Poaceae
Description: partial small subunit ribosomal RNA
Source: RNAcentral